This 445-nucleotide ribosomal RNA is filed under the name uncultured bacterium. RNAcentral's name for it is "partial 16S ribosomal RNA". It matches the Rfam family "Bacterial small subunit ribosomal RNA", at positions 354 to 796 of the family's 1533-position model. The record is from RNAcentral.
GUGGGGAAUAUUGGACAAUGGGCGCAAGCCUGAUCCAGCCAUGCCGCGUGCAGGAAGACGCAUCUAUGGUGUGUAAACUGCUUUUGUACGGGAAGAAACACUCCCUCGUGAGGGAGCUUGACGGUACCGUAAGAAUAAGGAUCGGCUAACUCCGUGCCAGCAGCCGCGGUAAUACGGAGGAUCCAAGCGUUAUCCGGAAUCAUUGGGUUUAAAGGGUCCGUAGGCGGUUUAAUAAGUCAGUGGUGAAAGCCCAUCGCUCAACGAUGGAACGGCCAUUGAUACUGUUAGACUUGAAUUACAAGGAAGUAACUAGAAUAUGUAGUGUAGCGGUGAAAUGCUUAGAUAUUACAUGGAAUACCAAUUGCGAAGGCAGGUUACUACUUGUGGAUUGACGCUGAUGGACGAAAGCGUGGGGAGCGAACAGGAUUAGAAACCCGGGUAGUCU